AUUCUUUAAUAACAAUCUCUUGUCUAUGGUAUUCCAAAGUGAAGACCAUGAGGAUGCUCAAGAUGAACCUGCAUCUCAUUCACAAGGCAGGGGCACAUAUAUGAAUAUGUAGAUGAACCUAGACCUAGGCCCAUUAGGCAUCGGGCCAAGCACACGAUCUCUCUACAAAGCACCUUGAUUCACGGUGGCAACACUAAAAAUCUGUAGCUGGACCUAGACCUAGGCCCAUUAGGCAUGCAGCCAAGCACACGAUCUCUCCAUAGAGUAUAUCCACAAUGGCAACAUUGAACCUAUACAAGCGAGGCAGCAAGGUAUGCUAUGCUGCCUCACAUGCCCAUGUGUACAUCUCUCCUAUGUUCCAUGGAGAUAAAAAAAAUGAAAGAUCCAUGGGGCCUAAGUGUCUAACUACCUAAGUGAGAAGGGUGACCCUUGCGAGAAGGUAGCUAAGAUGUUUUGCGACUUGAGAGUGCUCCAACUUCUAAUCUUUAUCUUGCUCUUAUAUGCGUGCAUCUUCCAUGGGAGCUCAUACUUAACUUUCUCUGUCAUGGUGCCAGAAGUGCAUCAAUGGGUGGUGCAUUUAGUGUGACAUAUUUGCUAAGCUUUUACACAUAAUCGAGAGAGCUAAAACUCAUUUAAUCUUCAUAUUAAAUUCUUAAUAUAUUAUUGCAACUAACAUGACUUUUUUCUCGCUCACAUUUUUGUUUCUGCCUGAAAAGUAUAGUGGACCAAGGAGAGUGGUGAUCAACAGUGAACACAUGGUCGGUGCAAACGGUAGGGACAAAAUUAAACCAGAAACCCUAAUGACAAAGCCACGCACACUGAGAUCACAUGGGUAAUCACAACUCCCGUUGACGUGAAACACAAUGCAUAUGCAGCACUUUAUGUUUUUUUUAAAAAAAUAUCGAGACAAGGUCUUUAAAGUCAAUGUCAAAAUAAACAUAACAGCAUUUACAUCUCGAUGAUUGUUAAAAUACACAUAACUGUUGGUUGGUCGCCAUGUCGCAUGAGCUGCCUAUUGCACCACACUUUUUGUCCCUAUCCAUCAUGCUCUGAGGUGCAUCGUGGGUGACCCAUGCAUGGGUGUUGCACGCAAGUUUUUACCUGGUUUUAAAACAAGCAACGACCCCUGCCCCUCUUGCAGUGUUUGACCUAGGACAUAGGUAUCCAUUCUUUUCAACAAAAAUAGUGCUAUUAUCUGACACAUACACAUCUUGGAUUGCAGCAGAUUGUUGGUGAUGCUCCCGACUGCCUCUACAGUAGCCAUUUGUAGUAGUCUGAUCAGACAAUGCACAAGGACAGCUAGCACCAUCUCCAGAUGCCCCGCACUCCUAUAGGACAACGUAUAGCUCCCAAUGUAUGGAACCGUGUAGGCGAUGUCGUGCUGAGCUGAUGAUAGAUGAUGGAAGGAUACAACUUCUGAUCCCAAGUAGCUAAACCUUUAUGACUCAUGUUGCAAACUUCAUAGUUUUGGUCUUAUAUAGAGGGCGUAUACUGCUCAUGGGAACCCGGAAAUUAUAACCUUGCUCUGCGCCAGAGGCACAGAAGUAAAAGUAGUUUUUGUAGCGAGUCACAAUAACACAAAGGAUAUACCUUUAUCAGUGAUAUGGAAUUGAAACACAUCAUUAAUGUAAAAUCAGUGACUCAGGUAAACAAAACAUGUUACUCAGG
RNAcentral lists this long non-coding RNA (1668 nucleotides) under Sorghum bicolor (sorghum). Its description in RNAcentral is "long non-coding RNA (SBIC_LNC015433)". The record is from RNAcentral. Lineage: Eukaryota; Viridiplantae; Streptophyta; Magnoliopsida; Poales; Poaceae.